Small nuclear RNA from Manis javanica (Malayan pangolin), 189 nucleotides. RefSeq annotates it as U2 spliceosomal RNA. The record is from RefSeq and is a predicted model, not a curated record. Lineage: Eukaryota; Metazoa; Chordata; Mammalia; Pholidota; Manidae.
AUCACUUCUCGGCCUUUUGGCUAAGAUCAAGUGCAGGAUCUUCUUAUCAGCUUAAUAUCUGAUACAUCCUCUAUCUUAGAACAAUAUAUUAAAUGGAUUUUUGGAGCAGGGAGAUGGAAUAGGAGCUUGCUCCGUCCACUCUAUGCAUCGACCUCAUAUUGCAGUACUUCCGGGAAUGGUGCACCAGCU